CAGUAUUUUCAUUCAUAUAUUGGCUUGAAUCGGUGAUAUCAACAUUGGAGUGUGUGAAUACUCGGAGGUUAUGCCAGCAAAAAUAGAACGGAAGAUAGCGCUUCUUGGAGACAGUAGAAGGCAGAUUUUCACGGUAGUCUUUUGUUGAUUCCGUCAGUUGUAUAGCUGGAGAGUUUGUGGGAAGGUCUGACAGAAUCUACUAGAAUAUUUGACAGUCCUGCAGUUCGGUUGAGUGUUUGUACAACGGUGAAGGAAAACAUGACAGAUUUUACUCGAGGAUGAAGCUUUGCACCACUUGAGGAUCACAGAAGCCAAUUGGCGGAUUGGCAGUUGCCCAUUUGGAUCAACGACAAAUUCUGUCAGAUGGAUACCAAACUCCUCUGUUACUUCUAAAGCUUGGAUCCUCUGCUCCGCAGCCUGUCUUGUCUCUCGAUGAGGAGACAAUAUCCCAUUUAAAGUAUCCUGGAGAGCCUCUCUCAACGAUCCCUGAACAUCACCCAGACCAAUACUCAUCUCGGGAUUCAAUCAACCACCUUUAGUCAAGUAGGAAAACAGACAACGAAAAUCUCAUACGAUUCUUACAACACUUUGUUCAUUGAAUUAAAUGACACUUGGAAUCGCCUGAAAACCAGGUAUAGGUUAAAACUAGCGGCAAGAAUG
RNAcentral lists this unclassified non-coding RNA (660 nucleotides) under Athalia rosae (coleseed sawfly). RNAcentral describes it as "misc RNA ENSAEAG00005007272.1". The record is from RNAcentral. Lineage: Eukaryota; Metazoa; Arthropoda; Insecta; Hymenoptera; Athaliidae.